This 1377-nucleotide ribosomal RNA is filed under the name Bacillus pumilus. RNAcentral describes it as "bacterial LSU rRNA". It matches the Rfam family "Bacterial large subunit ribosomal RNA", at positions 1550 to 2925 of the family's 2925-position model. The record is from RNAcentral. Lineage: Bacteria; Bacillati; Bacillota; Bacilli; Caryophanales; Bacillaceae.
UGAAGGCUGAGCUGUGAUGGCGAGCGAAAUUUAGUAGCGAAGUUCCUGAUUCCACACUGCCAAGAAAAGCCUCUAGCGAGGUGAGAGGUGCCCGUACCGCAAACCGACACAGGUAGGCGAGGAGAGAAUCCUAAGGUGAUCGAGAGAACUCUCGUUAAGGAACUCGGCAAAAUGACCCCGUAACUUCGGGAGAAGGGGUGCUUCUUAGGGUGUUAAAGCCCCGAGAAGCCGCAGUGAAUAGGCCCAGGCGACUGUUUAGCAAAAACACAGGUCUCUGCGAAGCCGUAAGGCGAAGUAUAGGGGCUGACGCCUGCCCGGUGCUGGAAGGUUAAGAGGAGCGCUUAGCGUAAGCGAAGGUGCGAAUUGAAGCCCCAGUAAACGGCGGCCGUAACUAUAACGGUCCUAAGGUAGCGAAAUUCCUUGUCGGGUAAGUUCCGACCCGCACGAAAGGCGCAACGAUCUGGGCACUGUCUCAACGAGAGACUCGGUGAAAUUAUAGUACCUGUGAAGAUGCAGGUUACCCGCGACAGGACGGAAAGACCCCGUGGAGCUUUACUGCAGCCUGAUAUUGAAUGUUGGUACAGCUUGUACAGGAUAGGUAGGAGCCUUGGAAACCGGAGCGCUAGCUUCGGUGGAGGCAUCGGUGGGAUACUACCCUGGCUGUAUUGACCUUCUAACCCGCUGCCCUUAUCGGGCAGGGAGACAGUGUCAGGUGGGCAGUUUGACUGGGGCGGUCGCCUCCUAAAAUGUAACGGAGGCGCCCAAAGGUUCCCUCAGAAUGGUUGGAAAUCAUUCGCAGAGUGUAAAGGCACAAGGGAGCUUGACUGCGAGACCUACAAGUCGAGCAGGGACGAAAGUCGGGCUUAGUGAUCCGGUGGUUCCGCAUGGAAGGGCCAUCGCUCAACGGAUAAAAGCUACCCCGGGGAUAACAGGCUUAUCUCCCCCAAGAGUCCACAUCGACGGGGAGGGUUUGGCACCUCGAUGUCGGCUCAUCGCAUCCUGGGGCUGUAGUCGGUCCCAAGGGUUGGGCUGUUCGCCCAUUAAAGCGGUACGCGAGCUGGGUUCAGAACGUCGUGAGACAGUUCGGUCCCUAUCCGUCGCGGGCGCAGGAAAUUUGAGAGGAGCUGUCCUUAGUACGAGAGGACCGGGAUGGACGCACCGCUGGUGUACCAGUUGUUCUGCCAAGGGCAUCGCUGGGUAGCUAUGUGCGGACGGGAUAAGUGCUGAAAGCAUCUAAGCAUGAAGCCCCCCUCAAGAUGAGAUUUCCCAUUCCGCAAGGAAGUAAGAUCCCUGAAAGAUGAUCAGGUUGAUAGGUCUGAGGUGGAAGCGUGGUGACACGUGGAGCUGACAGAUACUAAUAGAUCGAGGACUUAACCU